AGCGGCGGACGGGUGAGUAACGCGUGGGUAACCUGCCUCAUACAGGGGGAUAACAGUUGGAAACGGCUGCUAAUACCACAUAAGCGCACAGUACCGCAUGGUACCGUGUGAAAAACUCCGGUGGUAUGAGAUGGACCCGCGUCUGAUUAGCUAGUUGGUGGGGUAACGGCCUACCAAGGCGACGAUCAGUAGCCGACCUGAGAGGGUGACCGGCCACAUUGGGACUGAGACACGGCCCAA
This 240-nucleotide ribosomal RNA is filed under the name uncultured bacterium. Its description in RNAcentral is "partial 16S ribosomal RNA". It matches the Rfam family "Bacterial small subunit ribosomal RNA", at positions 94 to 334 of the family's 1533-position model. The record is from RNAcentral.